This 379-nucleotide ribosomal RNA is filed under the name uncultured eukaryote. RNAcentral's name for it is "partial 18S ribosomal RNA". It matches the Rfam family "Eukaryotic small subunit ribosomal RNA", at positions 592 to 975 of the family's 1831-position model. The record is from RNAcentral.
CAAUAGCGUAUAUUAAAGUUGUUGCGGUUAAAAAGCUCGUAGUUGGAUUUCUGCUGAGAACGACCGGUCCGCCCUUUGGGUGUGUAUCUGGCUCUUUCUUGGCAUCUUCUUGGUGAACGUUGCUGCACUUGACUGUGUGGAGCGCUACCCAGGACUUUUACUUUGAGGAAAUUAGAGUGUUUCAAGCAGGCAUACGCCUUGAAUACAUUAGCAUGGAAUAAUAAGAUAGGACCUCGGUUCUAUUUUGUUGGUUUCUAGAGCUGAGGUAAUGAUUAAUAGGGAUAGUUGGGGGCAUUCGUAUUUAACUGUCAGAGGCGAAAUUCUUGGAUUUGUUAAAGACGGACUACUGCGAAAGCAUUUGCCAAGGAUGUUUNCAUUG